This 85-nucleotide transfer RNA is filed under the name Bacteroidales bacterium. Its description in RNAcentral is "tRNA-Ser". It matches the Rfam family "tRNA". Rfam says of the family: Transfer RNA (tRNA) molecules are approximately 80 nucleotides in length. Their secondary structure includes four short double-helical elements and three loops (D, anti-codon, and T loops). Further hydrogen bonds mediate the characteristic L-shaped molecular structure. tRNAs have two regions of fundamental functional importance: the anti-codon, which is responsible for specific mRNA codon recognition, and the 3' end, to which the tRNAs corresponding amino acid is attached (by aminoacyl-tRNA synthetases). tRNAs cope with the degeneracy of the genetic code in two manners: having more than one tRNA (with a specific anti-codon) for a particular amino acid; and 'wobble' base-pairing, i.e. permitting non-standard base-pairing at the 3rd anti-codon position. Lineage: Bacteria; Pseudomonadati; Bacteroidota; Bacteroidia; Bacteroidales. The record is from RNAcentral.
GGAGGUGUGGCCGAGUGGUCGAUGGCGGCAGUCUUGAAAACUGUUGUACAGCAAUGUACCGGGGGUUCGAAUCCCUCCGCCUCCG